RNAcentral lists this ribosomal RNA (333 nucleotides) under Triticum aestivum (bread wheat). RNAcentral's name for it is "partial small subunit ribosomal RNA". The record is from RNAcentral. Lineage: Eukaryota; Viridiplantae; Streptophyta; Magnoliopsida; Poales; Poaceae.
AUGAAUGAAGGACGUGUUUUGAGGUCUAGUGUAACACAAGAUCAUGAUCAUGUAGAUCACGCGCAUCAGCCUUCCAAAAAUUCUGUUGGGGAGAAAAGCAAGUGCAAAGAGGAUGGGGGCUCUACAACAAUCAGUUGCAAGGAAGCAAACAUAAGGACUGGACUCACAAUGAACCAUGAAGCCGGCGAUCCGCGUCAACUGGAUGCUUUAGCUUUCAUUUUGUACAACCGAUGUCUCAUAUUUGCGUCUUUUUGCUGUCAUUUUGUAAACCUGAUGUAUGGUGUCUUGUCUUGGUGCUUAGAACAGACUGAAGUGUAUGUAUGUGACAAUUAG